Molecule: long non-coding RNA, 2832 nt
Filed under: Homo sapiens (human)
Lineage: Eukaryota; Metazoa; Chordata; Mammalia; Primates; Hominidae
Description: non-protein coding lnc-NEMP2-38:10
Source: RNAcentral
GAAAAAUAAAAACACAUUAUCUGUGCAACAAAAGCAUUCCUAGAAGGGGUUGUUAUGAUAAAUAGAACUCCAACUGGAGUGCCAUAUAGUCAAAGAAAAGUCUUAUAAAGCAAAAUACUGCAAGAUUUAUUUAUUCAAAAACUGUUGUUGAGCACAUUCUAUGUGCCAGGCACAGUGCUAAGCUUGGGACAACACGGGAAAAUAAAAUGGACGUUGUCCCUGCAUGCAUGUCCCUCCCCAGGCUUUUGGUGUGUAGAGAAAGUACCAUAACUGCCAAAUAAGUAAAUAGUUGAAUGGGGCCUUAGAGAUCAGUGUGACAAAAAACAAGUGUAGAUGUUAAUCCAUUUCAAAAUACUCUUCACAGACUUUCAGUAUUCCUAUGAUUUUCUGGAAAUGAGACAGGAAAUCAAAUAAUAUUUUUUUGAAGAGCUGAGGUCCAAUUUUCAAUAUGUAAUCCAGUUCUUUUCAGGAAGUGUUAAUCAUGUGAUUCCUAUUACCAUUAAAAACCGUCAUCAUCCUGUAAUACUGACCAUCUGUUUCAGAUAUGGCACGCACACUUGGGAAACCCAGAAUAAUGGGAACUCAAAACUGUUAUUCAUUCGAGAGCUCAUCAGUCCAAGAAGAUGCCACCUUGGUCAGAUGUGGAUGAGGCAUGACUGGACCGACCCUGUGGGCUCGGCACCCACCUGUGCUAUAAACUGUUCAUGUGAAAACUGUGUGCCCCUGGGUUGUCUGACCUGCAGCUGUACCGCACUUUUAGUACAAUGCCUGCCACCCACAGGAGUGUUGUCACAAUUGAAGUGAAUGCUAUAAAGCAUUGUGAGCAACUCAAAAGAAGGGUGCUGCUUAACUACCCAAAAUUACUAUACACCCACAGGUAAAGCUCUCUCUCUCUCUUUCUCUCUCUCUCUCGACACUCUUAAUAUGGUAAUAUAAAAGGGCAUUCCUCAGGGUACAUUUAAAUGUCUGUGUGUGUUUCAUUCCAUUUGUUAUUCAUUUUAACUUUUAAAUUAAUUAUUAUUUUCAGGAUGUUAUCCUUGCACUAAAGGAAACCUAUUAAUUUAAUGCUUCUAUGUCACUACUAUGGACUGAAUAUUUGUGUCCCCCCAAAAUUCAUAUGUUGAAAUCCUAACCCUCAAUGUGCUGCAUUGGGAGGUGUGGCUUUGGGGAGGUGAUUAUGUCAUGACGACAGAGUCCUCAUGAAUAAGAUUAGUGCCCUUAUAAAAGAGACCCAGAGAGCUCUUUCACCCCUUUCUGCAAUGUAAGGACAUAGUCAGAAGACCACAGUCUAUAAACUGGUAAGCUGGUCCCUACCAGACACUGAAUCUGCAUCUUAAUCUUGGACUUCCCAGCCUCCAGAACUGUGAGAAGUAAGUGUAGUUUAAGCCACCCAGUCUAUAGUAUUUUUGUUACAGCUGCCUGAAUGGAGUAAGACAGUCACCAUGUUUGAAAAAGAGACAUAUUUGGGUCUCUAGAAGCUGCCUGUCUGUUAAUUUAUGACUAAAAUUAAUUUGGUCAUGAUUUCCUCUCUAAAUCUAGAUUAUUUGGCCAUGUGUCAGAAACACAUGUUUGGGAAUUUAUUUGGCUAGAUGGCUUGGAUUGAAGCCUCAAAUUUUAAAAAGAAAGAAAAAAAGCACAACUAAACAGAAGCUAAUCAAUGUAAAUACCUGACAGCAUUGAAGCAGCCAGGGACGAUGGUGGCCUAAAGCAUCAUAGAUAGCUGUUUAGCUAUCUUUUUCUGUAUAGCUUGCUUUUACUUUUCCUUUCUUUCUUUUAUAAAAUAACAGCUUUAUUGAGAUGUAAUUCACAUAUCAAAAAUGCAUCCUUUCAACGUGUGCAAUUCAGUGUUCUUAGUACAUUCACAAAGUUGUGCAACCAUUGACACUAGUUCCAGAAUAUUUUCAUUACCCGAAAAAGAAGCCCUAUGCUUAUUUGCAAUUACCCCAUUCCCCCUUUCUGAGGCCCCUGGAAACCAUUAAUCUACUUUCUGUCUCUACAGACUUGCCUCUUCUGGACAGUUUAUAUAAAUGGAAUCAUACAUUAUGUGGAUUCUUUCAUUCAGUAUAAUACUUUCAAGGUUCAUCUAUCUUUUUUCCUUUUUAUGGCCAAAUAAUAUUCCAUCGUAUGGCUAUAACACACUCUGUUCAUCAGCUGAUGGACAUUUGGGUUGUUUCCACAUUUUAGCUACUAUUAAUCAUGUUCUGUGAACAUGAGUGUACAAGUUUUUGUGUAGACAUGUUUUCAGUGCUCUUGGGUGUAUACCUAGCACUGGCAUUGCUGGGCCAUAUGGCAACUCCAUGGUUAACUUUUUGAGGAACUGCCAAGCUGUUUUCCAAAGUGACUGCAUCAUUUGCAUUCUCACCAACGAUAAAUGAGGAUUCAGAUUUCCCCACAUCCUUGUCAACACUUUUUAUUGUCUAUCUUUUUGAUGAUAGAUGAUUUAAUGGAUGUGAAGUGGUUUCUUGUGGUUUUGGUUUGCAUUACCCUAAUAACUAAUAUGGUUGAGAAUCUUUUCAUGUGAUUACUAACCAACCUUUCUUUGUCUCUCCUUCACCCCUACUAUUCCCAGCCUCUGGUAACCAUGAAUCCACUCUCUACCUCCAUGAGAUCCACAUUUAGCUCCCACAUAUGAAUGACAGCAUGUGGUAUUUGUCUUUCUGUGCUCAGCUUAUUUCACUCAACAUAAUGACCUCCAGAUCCAUCCAAGUUGCUGUAAAUGAAAGCAUUGUAUUUUUUAUGGCUGAAUAAUAUUCCACCGUGUAUAUGUACCACAUUUUCUUUAUCCAUUUAUCCAUUGAUGGACACAUAGGUUGAUUCUAUAUCUUGGCUAUU